AUGUCUUCUGUGCCUUGCCCUGUCUGUUUUUCGUGAUCUGCAAUUGUUGGCGCCUGCAGUUGCUGAUUGGACCAGAGGGAGCAGGACUAGGGAAGGGCAAGGAGGAGGAAGGGAAGAGAAGAGAAAGGGGAAAUUAGGGUCUCCAAAAUUCUUCAAAUUACUUGACAAGUUCUUGAUCGUCUCAAUUAAGGUAAAACCCUAGCAGUCCCCAGGUGCUCAUAGAGUGGGUUAGGAUGAGUUAAUUCGAGAUUUAAUCUGUUAUCGGUAGUUUGACUUCAUGCAGUGGCCGUAAUCUUAAAUAUGGUAAUUAUUGGUCCAGAAUUUCAAUGUUCUGUAGAUGCAAAAGUUGUAGGUUUCGUCGAUAUCUUUCCCAUGGCGCUAAUUUCGUUCAAUUUGGAUUAGCGGUUUAGGAGAUAUCAAUGGAACUGUGCAGCUGUUCCAUUUAGAAAAACUGUGCGCAGAAACUGUUUUCAUAGUUUCGAUAUAUUUAGAGGCUGAAUUGCCCCUGGGCGCUGAAAGUUGAAGGAAAUGUUCUGUAGAUGUUCAAGUUGUGUUUAUUUACCACAUUUAAUUAAGCCAAUCAAAAGUUAUGGGCCAAACAGCGAGUAACUUAGAGAACUUGUCGAAUUUUCAGAAAUUGUGAGGGUUAACGGUUUAGGCUGUUAGCUCGGUAUUUCUUCGAGUAUUUAGGGUUUUGGUCUAUAUGAUCUAGUUCCUGAGAGUGGUUUAUUCCACAGGUUCGAUAAAUUCUAGUGGCGAGCAUGUGAUGUCGGAUUCUCGACAAGGUUAAGGCAAGUGCAAUGACGAAUCUCUUGAUGUGUGAAUAUGUUUGUGGUUUCGUUGCUGCCCUUGGGCGACAUUUACUCAAUGUCUUUAUUUUAUAUGUCAAUCUUUAAGAAUCAUAUCAUAAUUUUCUGGUUCUAUCAAAUGUUCAAGAUUCGUGUGUUGCCUUUCAUAUCAUUCAAGUGCCGGAGGUUUGUAUAAACACUAGUUGUGCAAUUUGGUUCUUAUGUUCAGGUUCCUGUGAAUAAGUGCUGGCCUCACUUAUUCGGCUUUACUGGUAAAUGCAAAGGAAGUUUCAGGUACUCGAUGAUCAAGUUUGCAUGGGAUGAGAGUAGCCACUUCAUGAUGAGCAUGCACACAUUUUUGCGAUUCAUUAAGCAAAUCUCUAGGCUAAAUAAUUCUUUUGACAUUGAGAACUGUCGUGUGGUCGUUUGGAUGUCGUUUACGUUUGUUCGGUCUUGUUGGUCAAUGUUGAGUUCUUAAUACUGUUUAGUUAUGUCAUCUUGCUAUUAUAUUACUUGUGUGCCCGCGAAUAUUAGAAUUACAGAGAAGGCUGCCGAAAUUUACUAGAA
Molecule: long non-coding RNA, 1355 nt
Organism: Panicum virgatum (switchgrass)
Lineage: Eukaryota; Viridiplantae; Streptophyta; Magnoliopsida; Poales; Poaceae
Exons: 2
Source: RefSeq, a predicted model, not a curated record